AAAGUUAUCACUUAACUUAUAUUUCUCGAUUUAAGGCAACCCCUGCCCGGUGAGUGUUCGUUCGGCUUUAACGGCCGCAGUACCUUGACUGUGCUAAGGUAGCGUAAUCAGUUGGCCUUUAAAUGGGGUCUAGAAUGAAGGGGGCUUUGGGAAUCAGCUGUCUCACAAUUUUGAUUUAUUCAAACUUACUCAAAGGGUGAAAAUGCCCUUAAGUUAGAAAAAAGACGAGAAGACCCUAAGAGCUUUAUGCUAAGUAAUAACCUCAACUUAUUUGUGUCAAUAUUUUGAGAUUCAUAAUUGAAUUGUGAAUUUAGUUUAAGUUUGAGAAAUUCCAAGAGUGAGAGAAUUUUCUUUACUUAAGAAUUUUCAGGAAAUCUUUGCGACAAAUAAGUCAGUUAAAUAUGCUUUUGUUGGGGCGACAAAGGAGCAUUAAAAAAAAUUAAUCUAGGAAUUACUCUCGAAACUUAGGUUAAUUUUGACUAAACCUCCUCGUGAACUAUUUCUCAUAUGCCGAAAGUUUGUAGGUACAAAAAUAGUUACCUUAGGGAUAACAGCAUUAUUUCUUCUGAAGAUUGUGACCUCGAUGUUGGACUAGGGAGCUGACGGCUAGCAGCCAAACAGUACUGUUCUGU
Molecule: ribosomal RNA, 632 nt
Filed under: Otina ovata
Lineage: Eukaryota; Metazoa; Mollusca; Gastropoda; Ellobiida; Otinidae
Description: partial 16S ribosomal RNA
Source: RNAcentral